This 2346-nucleotide long non-coding RNA is filed under the name Olea europaea subsp. europaea. Lineage: Eukaryota; Viridiplantae; Streptophyta; Magnoliopsida; Lamiales; Oleaceae. The record is from RNAcentral.
CCCCUUCCUUAGCCAGUGGAUUAUGGGAGCUCAUCCUGCAAUCUUGUAUGGAUUUGAUCAUGGCAAAGCUAUGUUUCCAAUACGUCCUACAAAAGGAACCUUUUAGCUAGGUCACUGUUCUAAUAAAUUUACUCUAAACAGAAAGGAAAACAUUUGAGGGUAAAAAUGAAAUUACGAUAUAGUUGGUUAUUGAGUAUUCUGCUUCAAACUGCUAUUUCUGGAGGCAUCAAGAAACCCCAAAUAGUUGUCUGAUCUAACAAUGAUAUUGAUGCAGAUUUCCUAGAGGUUUAAGAUGCCUUGAAACUUUAGAUCAUAUUUGAAGCAUAUAUGAUUGAUUUUUCUUAAGCGUGACCUAAUGGAGAAUUGUUUCUGUUAAAAGAACAUCCUUGGCUUCAAAAUGCAAAGAAGGCUCCGAAUUUUCCUCUUGGAGACGUCGUCAAGUCAAGACUCAAGCAAUUCUCGUUGAUGAAUAGGGUUCAAAAGGAAGGUUCUGAGGGUUGAUUUACUAGUAUAGCUUCUUUUGUACUUUUCUCCAAUGAAGAUGCUCCAGAAAAACAUUUGAGCUUUUGUAUCUAUGAUUAGGUAAUUGCUGAUUUCUUGUCCAAUGAAGAAGUCGAAGACUAGAUAGACACUGUUGAUGAUGGUAUUGUUUCAACUGAAGAACUCAAAGGUUGGAUUACAAAAUUUCAAUCCACAGCUGGCGGAUUCUGAAGUACAAAUGCUUAUUGAAGCUGUGAGUCUACAGCCUGCUUUGCAUUGUUGAGACAUGCAAACAAUUGUUCUAUUUACAAGUUUUCUUCCAUAUUGUUUAAACGAUUAUAGAGCUUCCCAAUGAUGUGAGCUUGAGAGUUCACAUAUUCUUACAGCCAUUAAAUUCUGAGCAAUUUUUUUCCAAGGGAUAUGGUAUUAGUACGGAAAAUGGAUCCAUCCAUUUCUCCUUUUCACUAUUAAGAAGUUUCCAGAAGAACAUAUAGGGUGAUUGAAAUGAAGAGAGAACUGAAGGGUGAUUGAAAUGAAGAGAGAACUGAAGUGAAAAGGUAGAUAAAGAACAUUGUUGAUUGCGUAAGCUUUAGGUGUUGUAUGAGGAUUUUAUAUGUUCGCUUGUUUUCAAAUUAACAUGAGAACAAAAAGGAAAAUAUACAGUAUUGAAUUCCUUAACUUGCUUUGGCCAAUACAGUUUAACCGUUACCCUGCAUGCAAACACCACAAACUAUAUCUCUACUCAGCCUGCUUGGACAUACAAAUAUAUAAUGCCUUGCUUCAUACCCCGAUAAUUGCAUAGCAAUACUCCAACAGGUACCAGUAGUUUAAAACCAACGCAUCACACAGACUGAGUAUAUCACAUACAUACUGCCCAAUAUGAUGAGAUUCUUCCAACUAUCUGGAAUGAGUGUUAGAUGGUGGCUGUGAACAGAUAUGAUCCAAGCCUGGACUUGGAUCUGAUUAAUUUUCAAUGAAAGUUAAACUCAAAUUAUAACUCUAUUGAAAAAAGAAAUCUGGUUGAAUGUACCCUCAGUUUUUAUGUAAGAGCUAUUCAAAGUCUCUUGUUUUCUCAAUUCUCUAUAUUGCUACUGGUAGACAUGAAUGGAUAAGGAACCACGAACUCUGGAGAAUUUCUUGCCAUUUCACUCCAUCUACAAAGAAUACCAACGAUGAGCGUCUCCACAAGGCAUUUUCCUAUUUCGACAAAGAUGGCAAUGGUUAUAUUGAGCCAGAUGAGCUUCAAGAUUCCUUAAUGGAGGACAGAGCAGAUGAUUGUGCAAAUGUAGCAAAGGACGUAUUCUAGGAGGUUGACUCAGACAAGGUGAAAACAAAUUCCUAAGCAUUGAAUUUACAAAGUAGAUGAGUUUAUUUUCAAUCAUUCAAUUAUGAAUGCAGGAUGGAAGAAUCAGUUAUGAUGAAUUUGUUGCUAUGAUGAAAACGGGUAUGGACUGGAGAAAGGCUUCUCAGUAUAACUCAAGAGGGAGAUUAAAUAGUCUUAGCAUAAAGUUGAUGAAAGAUGGUUCUAUUAACCUGUGUGAGUAAAUAUAUACAAGUUCAUCGUUUCGUUUGUCUGUAUAAAGUACUGAGGCAUGAUGUUUCACACUUGAUUUCUUUUUCAUUAUUUGCAGGAUUUCUUAUGUUAGAUGGGGUUCCAUUGAUUGGUGGCUUACAAUAAUCAUUGUCGAGAAUAGUGCAUCUGAUUAGCCUCUUCAAAUUGUUGAUUUAGUGAAAACAGUCUUGUAGCCCUUGAAUAUGUGUUGCACAAUCCUCUCAUCUCAUCUCUAUUAACAAUUUUAAAUAUUUUUGUUGACAAGUUGAAAUAAGAAAUUUGAUAAUUCUAUGUUAUAUUUGUGCCAAAGAACC